GUUGUUAAUAUCACCAAUGAAGAAUAUCGAUGAGCGAGUUCGAACCACGAGUUGCUACGGUUUUUGAAGAUCGCUAUUAUCGAUAUGGCAAGAUACGUUCACUUUUAAAUACUCAUCUAUUUCCAUGACACUGAUAAGACAUUACUGAUAACAUAGAUACCUAUGUAUAGAUACUAUCGCCAACGUCUUCAUUUUGUUUUUUUCUUUUUGUGUUACAACGAUCUGACAGUAUCCUCGCAUCGGUGUAAUCGUAAAAAUGAUGUAUCCGCGUCAAUGCAUCGGUAUAAUCUUUCUGUGUUUCUCGAUACUCGUCGCUCGCUCUUGCUGAAAUUCGCAAUCAAAGAUGGUGGAAAGAUACUGUGUUCUAUCAAAUCUAUCCUCAAAGUUUCAUGGACAGCGACACAAUGGCAUUUUCAGUCUCAAAGAUAAUUCUCGAUCUCGCUCUUGAUCAUAGACCAAUACGAAAGGUUUAAUAAAAUUUUAGAAAGUGUUAGUAUGUCUGGAAGAAAAUACAAAGAUUACUACAUAUGGGCGGAUCCUGUCAAUGAAACUGACCUAGUGAAACUGAAGUGACCAUCAAAUAUUUGGCUCGAUGUAUUUGGGAAUCCAGGUUGGAGUUAUUAUCCAUGUCGAAAGUAAUUCUAUUUUCAUCGAUUUCUUCAAGAACAGCCAGAUCCGAAUUACAAAAAUCGUGUAGUGAUAUUCGAAUUGCAGCAAAUAAUAAAAUAUUGGCUACAUAAAGAUGUAGAUGGAUUUUGUAUUACAUCAUCUUUUUGAAAUAAGCAACAUUACCUUGGACGAGCCAAAGAACAAUACUAUUAAUCUGUCGAAGAAUGAGUAUGUUUAUUUAUAGAAUAUUUAUAUGAAAGAUCAAGACGAAUAUGUUUUAAUAAAAAAACAUCGUGGAUUCUUACGCAAAGAUAUAAUAAAUAACGAAGAAAAAAUAUGUGAAUAUAUAGGUACAUGUAUCUUCUUGUAAUUACAUUGAUUAAUUGUAAUUACAUAGAUGAAUUUGUGGUUGAAAAAAUCAAAUCAUUAUUUCAUUAUUUUCAUGAUAGAUGAUGAUAACAAAGACAUAUACGAUAUUAGAAAAUACUACGAAAUUUUAUAGAUACCAAUCACAUAUAUCCUUUAAUUUUAAAUUCAUUAUGAAUCUAAUCAAAUGCUACUAAUUUCAAAAAUAUGAUAGACACAUGGAUCCAAACUAUGCCAAUAAAAAAUAUACCUGUUUGUUUGGCGAAUCAAAAACUAUUUUCAUUAAUUGACCGAUUAUUUCUUGAAACAAAACUUAUCACGGAGGAGAAAUUGGUAUGAUGAAUAAUCAAAACAUAAUAUUUAAAUAGAUGCAAGGUGCACAAGUUUGUAAGCUUAUAGUGCCACUGAAAAAAAAUAUCAAAGUAAAUCUUAUCUUAUCCAUGUAGAACACCAUUUCUGUGCAAUAAUGCAACCUAUGCAGAAUUUCAACAGAACCUUGCUAACCAGUUAAUGAAAAUUAUGAAAUACUAAAUUUGGAACAGCAGAAAAAAGAUACUAACUCAUAUUACAAGAUUUACACUGCACCAACAACUGCACUAACGAGGUUACGAAGUUCAACGAGUGCACUCAAAAAUGGAUAAUAUCAGUUACUUUAAAAAUAAUAAUCUUUUGGUAAUUAGACGGUAUAACGAAGAUGAGUUAGUAAGAGUUCUUAUAGAUUUUUCAAACAAUAAAUCGCAAUCGAUCAAUCUCACUGACAUGUCAGAAAGGAUUCCAGUUAUAACAACAACGAAAAUUGCAAAUGUUGAUGUCGAAAAUAGAAGUUAAUAAAGGACAAGAUGGAUAUAUUGUGGUCGUUCCAAAGAAAACUCCGAUAAUCCUUCAUUCGACGUAUCAACUUUUCAAUGGUUCCAAGAAAUAUACUAACUAUCUUCUAACAAUAUAACUAUCUUCUACUGAUAAUACUGAUCAUUAUAGUAUUAAAGUUAUAAGAAAUAAUAAACUAGUACUAUCAAUGUU
Molecule: long non-coding RNA, 1995 nt
Organism: Vespula pensylvanica (western yellowjacket)
Lineage: Eukaryota; Metazoa; Arthropoda; Insecta; Hymenoptera; Vespidae
Exons: 5
Source: RefSeq, a predicted model, not a curated record